UGACACAGAGGCACCAACAGGGCGUGACGGGCAGGUGCUUCACAUCACCGCUAAUUAGAGCCCUUCUUAAGGAGCAGAAACCAAGAGGAGGGCGUCAGUUCUUUAGAGCUUCCAGCGUGAAUUCUGGACCCAAGCCUAAGAACCUCCAAGCCAGACUCAGGUUCAAAGAAGUCCUCUGGCCGUCAAUUUGUUUUUUCAGCCCUCCUGCCUGAGCUCACCUGCCUGUCCACCCUCCAACGCCAUCCUAACUGGAGAGAAUCCGCCGGACUUGCACCUACCUCCUGGACCCCCAGACACAACCCCUCAGGAUAAAAUCAAGCCUCGACCUCAGUGAUUCAAACGCCUUUUCACAAUUCUCAUCGGCACCAUUCCUUUGUUCAAUUCAAUUCAAUUUAUUAUUCACCAGUGUCCUUGUCUUCCCCGAGCAGGACUAGGACGUUUCAAUCUGCCAGCACUUCCUCUGAUUACACAGCACUGUUGACAAUAAACUUUCUUACCGAACUGUCUGUCUCCAUGGUUGCCCUGAUUCAGAUUCGUACUUCUCAAAACGUGACA
This is a long non-coding RNA of Fundulus heteroclitus (mummichog), 555 nucleotides long. RefSeq lists it as uncharacterized. The transcript has 3 exons. The record is from RefSeq and is a predicted model, not a curated record. Lineage: Eukaryota; Metazoa; Chordata; Actinopteri; Cyprinodontiformes; Fundulidae.